AAUCUUCCACAAUGGGUGCAAACCUGAUGGAGCAAUGCCGCGUGAAUGAAGAAGGUCUUCGGAUCGUCCCGUUCUGUUAUUAGCGAAGAACAAGUCAAGGAGUAACUGUCUUGACUCUGACGGUACCUAACCAGAAAGUCACGGCUAACUACUUGCCAGCAGCCGCGGUAAUACGUAGGUGACAAGCGUUGUCCGGAAUUAUUGGGCGUAAAGGGAGCGCAGGCGGUUGGAAUAGUCUGAUGUGAAAGCCCCCGGCUUAACCGUGGAAGGUCAUUGGAAACUGUCCAACUUGAAUGCAGAAGAGGUAAGUGGAAUUCCAUGUGUAGCGGUGAAAUGCGUAGAUAUAUGGAGGAACACCAGUGGCGAAGGCGACUUACUGGUCUGUGAUUGACGCCGAGGCUCGAAAGCGUGGGUAGCGAACA
Molecule: ribosomal RNA, 422 nt
Filed under: uncultured bacterium
Lineage: Bacteria
Description: partial 16S ribosomal RNA
Rfam family: Bacterial small subunit ribosomal RNA
Source: RNAcentral